UGGCUCGUGCAUCGAUGAAGAACGCAGCCAGCUGCGAUAA
This 40-nucleotide ribosomal RNA is filed under the name Drymonema larsoni. RNAcentral's name for it is "partial 5.8S ribosomal RNA". The record is from RNAcentral. Lineage: Eukaryota; Metazoa; Cnidaria; Scyphozoa; Semaeostomeae; Drymonematidae.